CUACUGUAUCCCCAUUCGCUUGCGAGCACCACCUGCCCACCCCUCGUCUAGCCAGUGCCCAUCGCGCUUCCAUCAGAGCCACGCCACGAGAAAGACGCAGCAACAACGACGAACACAGGAGAACACUC
Myotis davidii is the source of this 128-nucleotide non-coding RNA. NCBI's taxonomy places the organism in Eukaryota, Metazoa, Chordata, Mammalia, Chiroptera, Vespertilionidae. The record is from Rfam.